GGGAUACCGUAGCGAAAGCUACGCUAAUCCCGCAUACGUCCUGAGGGAGAAAGCGGGGGAUCUUUGGACCUCGCGCGAUUGGAGCGGCCGAUGUCGGAUUAGCUAGUAGGUGAGGUAAAGGCUCACCUAGGCGACGAUCCGUAGCGGGUCUGAGAGGAUGAUCCGACACACUGGGACUGAGACAAGGACCAGACUCCUAUGGGAGGCAGCAGUGGGGAAUUAUGAGACAAUGGGGGCAAACCUGAUCCAAGACCAUGGCGAGUGACGUGAAGAAAAGGCCUUCGAGGGUUGGAAACGACCUAUCGGGCCGGGAAGAAAUCGUGGUCUCUAACAUAGGCCAUGGAUGACGGUACCCGGGACUAAGAAGCACCGGGCUAACUACGUGCCAGCAGCCGCGGUAAUACGUAGGGUGCGAGCGUUAAUCGGAAUUACUGGGCGUAAAGCGUGCGCAGGCGGUUUUGUAAGACAGAUGUGAAAUCCCCGGGCUUAACCUGGGAACUGCGUUUGUGACUGCAAGGCUAGAGUACGGCAGAGGGGGGUGGAAUUCCUGGUGUAGCAGUGAAAUGCGUAGAGAUCAGGAGGAACACCGAUGGCGAAGGCAGCCCCCUGGGCCUGUACUGACGCUCAUGCACGAAAGCGUGGGGAGCAAACAGGAUUAGAUACCCUGGUAGUCCACGCCCUAAACGAUGUCGACUAGUCGUUCGGAGCAGCAAUGCACUGAGUGACGCAGCUAACGCGUGAAGUCGACCGCCUGGGGAGUACGGCCGCAAGGUUAAAACUCAAAGGAAUUGACGGGGACCCGCACAAGCGGUGGAUGAUGUGGAUUAAUUCGAUGCAACGCGAAAAACCUUACCUACCCUUGA
RNAcentral lists this ribosomal RNA (863 nucleotides) under uncultured Thauera sp. RNAcentral's name for it is "bacterial SSU rRNA". It matches the Rfam family "Bacterial small subunit ribosomal RNA", at positions 140 to 984 of the family's 1533-position model. The record is from RNAcentral. Lineage: Bacteria; Pseudomonadati; Pseudomonadota; Betaproteobacteria; Rhodocyclales; Zoogloeaceae.